GGCAACGGCCAUACCACGUUGAAAACACCGGUUCUCGUCUGAUCACCGAAGUUAAGCAACGUUGGGUUUGAUUAGUACUUGGAUGGGUGACCGCCUGGGAAUACCAAAUGCUGUUGUCU
Molecule: non-coding RNA, 119 nt
Organism: Macrostomum lignano
Lineage: Eukaryota; Metazoa; Platyhelminthes; Macrostomidae
Source: Rfam